CUGCUUAUGGUGUAAGGCUAAACACGUUAGUUUUUCGUUCUAAAGAUACAGUGUUAGAUUUGUUGAGCAGU
This 71-nucleotide transfer RNA is filed under the name Quasilineus sinicus. RNAcentral's name for it is "tRNA-Glu". It matches the Rfam family "tRNA". Rfam says of the family: Transfer RNA (tRNA) molecules are approximately 80 nucleotides in length. Their secondary structure includes four short double-helical elements and three loops (D, anti-codon, and T loops). Lineage: Eukaryota; Metazoa; Nemertea; Pilidiophora; Heteronemertea; Lineidae. The record is from RNAcentral.